UGAAAAAUCCUUUCCUUCCCGUCGGACCCGUCGUCCAGGCUCCGACGUCGUCAACCCUAUUUUUUUGUUCCCCGUAUUUUUCGCCGCGUGCCCAUCAAAUCCAUCACGCGUGCCGGUCAAAUCCCGCAACUUUCGCCGAACCGCCCCUCCCUUUUUCCUCCUCUUUUUCCUUCUCCUUUUUCCCUUCUUUUCUCUCUUUUCCUUUCUCCUUCUUUCUCCUUCCUCCUUUCUCUCUCUCUCCUUC
Molecule: long non-coding RNA, 244 nt
Filed under: Setaria italica (foxtail millet)
Lineage: Eukaryota; Viridiplantae; Streptophyta; Magnoliopsida; Poales; Poaceae
Description: long non-coding RNA (SITA_LNC006788)
Source: RNAcentral